AGUUGGUUACUCGCUCCAUAAACUAUAUACAGUUCAUGAGUUUGUACACACACAAAAAACCUUUAAAUGCUAGGAACUAUACAUUUAUUAUUCAAAUGAACAUGUUCUAUUGAUAAUUAUUUUCACGUUACGAAUGAUUAAUUUCGAACAAAUUUUAUAUCAUGUCUUCUUCGUUUAGUUUUGUUUGUGAAAUUGUCCGUAUAACAUGGUUAUUUGAAAUUUUGACCG
This 228-nucleotide long non-coding RNA is filed under the name Linum usitatissimum (flax). RNAcentral describes it as "long non-coding RNA (LUSI_LNC000506)". The record is from RNAcentral. Lineage: Eukaryota; Viridiplantae; Streptophyta; Magnoliopsida; Malpighiales; Linaceae.